Molecule: ribosomal RNA, 476 nt
Filed under: uncultured Planctomycetales bacterium
Lineage: Bacteria; Pseudomonadati; Planctomycetota; Planctomycetia; Planctomycetales
Description: bacterial SSU rRNA
Rfam family: Bacterial small subunit ribosomal RNA
Source: RNAcentral
UCGCAAUGCCCGAAAGGGUGACGAAGCGACGCCGCGUGUGGGAAGAAGGCCUUCGGGUUGUAAACCACUGUCGGGAGUUAAGAAAUGCAAGAAUGUUAAUAGCGUUUUUGCUUGACUAAGGCUCCGGAGGAAGCCACGGCUAACUCUGUGCCAGCAGCCGCGGUAAUACAGAGGCGGCAAGCGUUGUUCGGAAUUAUUGGGCGUAAAGAGCACGUAGGCGGCUAUAUAAGUCGGUUGUGAAAGCCUUCCGCUCAACGGGAGAACAGCAUCCGAAACUGUGUGGCUUGAGUGUGGGAGGGGAGAGCGGAACUUCUGGUGGAGCGGUGAAAUGCGUAGAUAUCAGAAGGAACGCCGGCGGCGAAAGCGGCUCUCUGGCCCAUAACUGACGCUGAGUGUGCGAAAGCUAGGGGAGCAAACGGGAUUAGAUACCCCGGUAGUCCUAGCCGUAAACGAUGGGCACUAAGUAGAGGGGUUUU